RNAcentral lists this ribosomal RNA (459 nucleotides) under uncultured bacterium. RNAcentral describes it as "partial 16S ribosomal RNA". It matches the Rfam family "Bacterial small subunit ribosomal RNA", at positions 338 to 795 of the family's 1533-position model. The record is from RNAcentral.
CCUACGGGAGGCAGCAGUGAGGAAUAUUGGUCAAUGGACGCAGGGCUGAACCAGCCAAGUCGCGUGAGGGAUGACGGCCCUAUGGAUUGUAAACCUCUUUUGUCAGGGAGUAAAGCGCGCUACGUGUGGCGUUUUGCGUGUACCUUAUGAAUAAGCAUCGGCUAACUCCGUGCCAGCAGCCGCGGUAAUCCGGAGGAGCCGAGCGUUAUCCGGUUUUAUUGGGUUUAAAGGGUGCGCAGGCGGAAUGUUAAGUCAGUGGUAAAAUUUCGGGGCUCAACCCCGUCGUGCCGUUGAAACUGGGGGUCUUGAGUGCGCUAGAGGUAGGCGGAAUUCGUGGUGUAGCGGUGAAAUGCUUAGAUAUCACGCAGAACUCCGAUUGCGAAGGCAGCACACCGGAGCGCAACUGACGCUGAUGCACGAAAGCGUGGGUAUCGAACAGGAUUAGAUACCCCAGUAGUC